UACGUAGGGUGCAAGCGUUGUUCGGAAUUACUGGGCGUAAAGCGCGCGUAGGCGGUUUGUUAAGUCAGAUGUGAAAGUCCACGGCUCAACCGUGGAAGUGCAUUUGAAACUGGCAGACUAGAGUACUGGAGGGGGUGGUGGAAUUCCCGGUGUAGAGGUGAAAUUCGUAGAUAUCGGGAGGAAUACCGGUGGCGAAGGCGACCACCUGGCCAGAUACUGACGCUGAGGUGCGAAAGCGUGGGGAGCAAACAGG
RNAcentral lists this ribosomal RNA (253 nucleotides) under uncultured bacterium. RNAcentral's name for it is "partial 16S ribosomal RNA". It matches the Rfam family "Bacterial small subunit ribosomal RNA", at positions 524 to 776 of the family's 1533-position model. The record is from RNAcentral.